AGAAAAUAGAAAAGAAUAAUGAAGUCGAGAAUAGGAAAACAUUGAUAGAAUCCAUGAAAUCCAAAUUUGAUUUUUUUGAAAAGAUCAGCAAAAUUAACCAACCUUCACCUUGAAGCAACAAGAACAAAAGGUAUGACCCAAAAUAUAAGAUUUGAACAUGGGGUCAUUCUGCCUAACAGAAAGAAAAGGCAUCCCAAUAGAGGACUGUGAAUAAUUUAGAUGAAAAGAUUCAAUUUUCUGCCAGUUAAUCAGCAGGAGGCCACAGGGGAGCACAAGUUCACCUUGCACAAUGAAGGCAAGGAUACUGCCCUGAGCUCCUAUGGCCACUAGAGGAUGCCGAAUCCCGCUUACUGCCCCAGGUGGUGCACAGGCCUGUGGAGCCUGGGCCUGGUUUCCUUAGAACCCAGCCCUGGAAGCUUGUCCUCCACUUGUGUAGAGGGAGCCUCAUCUUUGCCAAGGAGGUGGUAUUUUGGAGGCUCUGAUCCCCAAGGAAGGUGCUUUUGUUCGCCGCUGCUUGUGGACGAUUUCUUAAGUAGGCCAUUCCCAAAGGUUUGUUCUUUCCUUCCUCACAUUGCAUUCAGCAGCAUUUGGACGAAAUGACCCAUUUAUUUCAGGUGGAGGCUCGUCAUAGCAGAGGAGGGAGGUGAGGUUUUGUGCACAUGCAGGUGGUUUCUGGGGAGAAAUCCCCAGGACACAUACAGAAAAAGGGACACCUCCAAUUGGGGACAGAAUGGACCCAGUCCUGUAGCUGUACUGAUGAGCUGUGAACAUAGGACUUUCCAGGGUGAGGGGUGAGGAAGGCCAGGGGGAAGUGUCAGUGGGUGGUGACCCACUUAUUUUUAUAAUUAAUUAGAGUUUAUCUUGUCCCCCAGGUGAAAGCAGUUGAAAAACAAGUGGCGAAUUUAAAGGGGGUCAAGUAAAACUCAUGACAUUUUUUUUUGUUUCAAUAUUGCAUUUAUAUCAAAACUAUAAUUCAAUACAAUUUUACUUUCCUGGGUUUUAUGAAAGCAAAUAAUAUGUUUUAAAAGGAUACUUAUUAGUUCUUCUCCUUCUCAAUGGAGAGAAUUAUCAUCUUUGACAAUUGCUCAUGACUCUGUGAUGACUUUAAAUAAUUUUAUAUUAAUUGGCACUGGGUAAAAAGCAUCUUUCUCAGGACACUGCUGUGACUGUGAUGCUCAAAAAUAAUAUGUCAGAAUGACUUCCAGGUGUGAAAUGUAUUUCACUAAGCAAAAUUUGUCAAUCACUUUUAGAAGAUUCCCAAAAUGAUGGUGGUACUUUAAUAACAACUAUUGAUAUUUUAUGUCAAUAAAGGCCAUUCAUAUGAAAUGCUUACAGAAUUUAAUACAAAAUCCAGUGAUGGAGUAUUUUGCACGAGAUGUUUUUUGAAUUAAUUUUUUAAUUAUUCAAUAUCUGAAGAUACUUUAAUUUUAUGUAUCUCUAAUGCAAUGGGGGAAGUUAGGAUGCCUUAACAUUCUGUACAAAUUUUCCGUAUGCAAAAAAAAAAAAAAAAGUUUGUUGGCUGUGGUUGUGGCUCAGGGAUAGAAUGCUUCCUAGCAUGUGUGAGGCUCUGGGUUCUAUCCUUGCACCACAUUAAAAAUAAAUAAAUAAAUAAAGUUAUUGUGUCCAUCAACAACUGAAAAAACCAAUAUUAAAAAUUAAGUUUAUCUAAUUUCACCAUCUUUCCUGUCCCCAUGCCCCGUCCCCUCCCAUCAUUACCCUAGGUACAUGUAUGACUGAACAUCUGGUGUGACUCUAUGUUGUGUACAAGCAGAGAUAUGAAAAAUUGUGCUCCGUUGUGUACAAUGAAUCAAAAUUCAUUCUGUGUCAUGUAUAACUAAAUAGAACAAAUUUUUGAAAAGAAAAAAUCAUGUUUAUCUCCCUAAAUAAUUGGAACUUUGAGCCUUGGAUCCUACAUUAUCAAUUUUUAUUUGCAUUUGUCUUUGUUCAUUUUCUAAUUUGGAAAGUAUAUUAUGUCUUUUAACAGUUCUUCUUCAAACAUUCUUGAAGUUACUUUCUUUUCCUGUUAGCAAAAGCCUUCUAAUAAGGAAUGCAGAUUUAUUUUUUGGAAAUUAUUUUGUUGUUAUUGGAAAGCCUAUUUGACUUCCUCUACUUUUCCCCUAAAAUACCAGCCCAUAUUGAUGAAUCGCAGAAAUUAUUAAUUUGCCCAAAGAAGGAUUGGAUUUGGU
This 2186-nucleotide long non-coding RNA is filed under the name Marmota monax (woodchuck). Lineage: Eukaryota; Metazoa; Chordata; Mammalia; Rodentia; Sciuridae. The record is from RNAcentral.